UACGUAGGUGGCGAGCGUUGUCCGGAUUUAUUGGGUUUAAAGGGUGCGUAGGCGGCCUUGUAAGUCAGUAGUGAAAUAUCUCAGCUUAACUGAGAGGGUGCUAUUGAUACUGUUAGGCUUGAGUACAGAUGAGGUAGGCGGAAUUGACGGUGUAGCGGUGAAAUGCAUAGAUAUCGUCAAGAACACCGAUAGCGAAGGCAGCUUACUAAGCUGUAACUGACGCUGAGGCACGAAAGUGUGGGGAUCAAACAGG
RNAcentral lists this ribosomal RNA (253 nucleotides) under uncultured prokaryote. Its description in RNAcentral is "partial 16S ribosomal RNA". It matches the Rfam family "Bacterial small subunit ribosomal RNA", at positions 524 to 776 of the family's 1533-position model. The record is from RNAcentral.